RNAcentral lists this unclassified non-coding RNA (291 nucleotides) under uncultured Mycosphaerella. RNAcentral describes it as "sequence contains ITS1". The stretch from base 1 to 105 matches the Rfam family "5.8S ribosomal RNA", at positions 50 to 154 of the family's 154-position model. The record is from RNAcentral. Lineage: Eukaryota; Fungi; Ascomycota; Dothideomycetes; Mycosphaerellales; Mycosphaerellaceae.
AAAAUGCGAUAAGUAAUGUGAAUUGCAGAAUUCAGUGAAUCAUCGAAUCUUUGCACGCACAUUACGCCCCUUGGUAUUCCGAGGGGCAUGCCUGUUCGAGCGUCAUUUCACCACUCAAGCCUCGCUUGGUAUUGGGCGCCGCGGUGUUCCGCGCGCCUCAAAGUCUCCGGCUGAGCUGUCCGUCUCUAAGCGUUGUGAUUUCAUUAAUCGCUUCGGAGCGCGGGCGGUCGCCGCCGUUAAAUCUUUCACAAGGUUGACCUCGGAUCAGGUAGGGAUACCCGCUGAACUUAA